RNAcentral lists this ribosomal RNA (463 nucleotides) under uncultured bacterium. Its description in RNAcentral is "partial 16S ribosomal RNA". It matches the Rfam family "Bacterial small subunit ribosomal RNA", at positions 28 to 507 of the family's 1533-position model. The record is from RNAcentral.
GAUGAACGCUGACAGAAUGCUUAACACAUGCAAGUCGAUGGGGAAGUGGUGCUUGCACCAUGGCAACCCUGGCGGACGGGUGAGUAACGCGUAAGGGACUUACCUGCAGGACUGGGAUAACAGGGGGAAACUCCUGACAAGACCGGAUAAUGUCAUGGAGCUGCAUGGCUUUAUGAUGAAAGGAGACGCCUGCGGAGAGCCUUGCGUCCUAUUAGCUAGUUGGUGAGGUAAUGGCUCACCAAGGCGAAGAUAGGUAGCCGGCCUGAGAGGGUGGACGGCCACAAGGGGACUGAGAUACGGCCCUUACUCCUACGGGAGGCAGCAGUGGGGAAUAUUGGACAAUGGGGGCAACCCUGAUACAGCAAUUCUGUGUGAACGAAGAAGGUUUUCGGAUUGUAAAGUGAUUUCAGCAGGGAAGAAGUAAGUGACGGUACCUGCAGAAGAAGCGACGGCUAAAUACGUG